Molecule: ribosomal RNA, 466 nt
Filed under: uncultured bacterium
Lineage: Bacteria
Description: bacterial SSU rRNA
Rfam family: Bacterial small subunit ribosomal RNA
Source: RNAcentral
GAUGAACGCUGGCGGCGUGCAUAACACAUUCAAGUCGAACGGUGACGAGGACUUCGGUCCUCUGAUCAGUGGCGGACGGGUGAGUAACGCGUGAGCAACCUGCCCUAUAUUGCGGGAUAACAACCGGAAACAGUUGCUAAUACCGCAUGACGUAUUCGGAUCGCAUGUUCUGAAUACCAAAGAAUUUUGAUAUAGGAUGGGCUCGCGUCCGAUUAGGCAGUUGGUGGGGUAACGGCCCACCAAACCGACGAUCGGUAGCCGAACUGAGAGGUUGAACGGCCACAUUGGAACUGAGAUACGGUCCAGACUCCUACGGGAGGCAGCAGUGGGGAAUAUUGGGCAAUGGGCGAAAGCCUGACCCAGCGACGCCGCGUGAGGGAAGAAGGUCUUCGGAUUGUAAACCUACUUUCUAGCAGGGAAGAAGCAAGUGACGGUACCUGCAGAAGAAGUCACGGCUAACUACGUG